Molecule: non-coding RNA, 1341 nt
Organism: Podarcis lilfordi (Lilford's wall lizard)
Lineage: Eukaryota; Metazoa; Chordata; Lepidosauria; Squamata; Lacertidae
Source: the annotation of a GenBank genome assembly
AAAAGCUGAGGCUCUGGACUUGAGAGACGUGCGGCAAUGAAGACACUUCACCUUCUGUCAUUCUGCCUGCUCAUGGUAGCAAAUGAGACAAGGAAGUUUGAGGAUUGUGAAUUGUUUUACAAGCUGAGAGAUCUGGGGCUGGAUGGCUUUCGCGGUAUUGACGUAAAACAAUGUGAGUCUUGUUUGUUGGACGUACAAUGUCCAGCUGCUCUGUUAGGAUAAAUGUACACCCAAUUUGUUGUGGAUCCCAACCUCCCUUUGGUUUCUCAUUUCUAGAUGACAUGUGUAGCAAUUUAUAUGGAUUUGUUUGGGUUUUUUGUUUACAGUAUUAUUGUUAUUAUCUCUGACCAUUUUAAAAUAAUGUGGCAUAUCUGAAAAAUGAGAACUGACAGAGCAGGCAAGAUUGAAAAUAAAGAGUCUUGUGGCACCUUAAAGGCUGACACAUUUAUGAUAUAAUAAUUUUUUAUGAACUUCAUCAGUUGCAAGAUUAAAGGUAAAGGUAAAGGUAAAGGGACCCCUGACCGUUAGGUCCAAUCGUGACCGACUCUGGGGUUGCGGCGCUCAUCUUGCUUUAUUGGCCAAGGCAGCCGGUGUACAGCUUCCAGGUCAUGUGGCCAGCAUGACUAAGCCGCUUCUGGCAAACCAGAGCAGCGCACGGAAACGCCUUUUACCUUCCUGCCGGAGCGAUACCUAUUUAUCUACUUGCACUUUGAUGUGCUUUUGAACUGCUAGGUUGGCAGGAGCAGGGACCGAGCAACGGGAGCUUACCCCGUCUCAGGGAUUCAAACCGCCGACCUUAUGAUCGGCAAGUCGUAGGCUCUGUGGUUUAACCCACAGCGCCACCCGCGUCCCCAAGAUUAAAGGUAGCACUGGAUAAUUCAUAAUGUUUUAGGAAAAUGUUAAAAGCUGUUAGAAACAUUGCUAUUUUAAGAAUACUGAAAUAGAAACAACAGCAUUUCAAAACUCAGAAUGUCAAAACCAAGAAAGUUUAUGUCAAUGUUUUGAAAGUGUUUAAACAGCAGGAUUUUUGGAGAAGUUUUAAAAAUGCUUUUCUGUUUCUGUGUUUGGGAACUGAUUUUAGGAAAGAAAGGACACUCUGAGUCCCUGGUUUUUAUACUUUGCUUCCCUACCAGAUGUCUGUAUGGCUGGAUUCCCAGCUAAUUACAACACUGAAUACUACGAGACAGAAGAGGGUGUCCCACACUACGGGCUAUUCCAUCUGAGCGGCCAGGAAUGGUGCUUUAAUGAGAGGCGGCCCUCACAGAACAAAUGCAACAUUUCCUGUGAUUGUGAGUGACCCUUUUUUUCCUGCUUGUGCCAUGUACUGUAUGUCUCAAGAUG